GGCCACCCUCUGCAGGGCGAUCGAUCAGGGGGUUCCGUGAUUGAUUGCCUCACAGAGGGAGGCC
Molecule: non-coding RNA, 64 nt
Organism: Myotis lucifugus (little brown bat)
Lineage: Eukaryota; Metazoa; Chordata; Mammalia; Chiroptera; Vespertilionidae
Source: Rfam